This 394-nucleotide ribosomal RNA is filed under the name uncultured bacterium. RNAcentral describes it as "bacterial SSU rRNA". It matches the Rfam family "Bacterial small subunit ribosomal RNA", at positions 29 to 450 of the family's 1533-position model. The record is from RNAcentral.
AACGAACGCUGGCGGCAGGCCUAACACAUGCAAGUCGAACGCUCCGCAAGGGGAGUGGCAGACGGGUGAGUAACACGUGGGAAUCUUCCUAUUGGUAUGGAAUAGCUCAGGGAAACUUGGGGUAAUACCGUAUAAGCCCGAGAGGGGAAAGAUUUAUCGCCAAUAGAUGAGCCCGCGUCUGAUUAGCUAGUUGGUGAGGUAAUGGCUCACCAAGGCGACGAUCAGUAGCUGGUCUGAGAGGAUGAUCAGCCACACUGGGACUGAGACACGGCCCAGACUCCUACGGGAGGCAGCAGUGGGGAAUAUUGGACAAUGGGCGGCAAGCCUGAUCCAGCCAUGCCGCGUGAGUGACGAAGGUCUUCGGAUUGUAAAGACUCUUUUGGUCGGGGGACGG